CGCGGCUCCCCAGCCCCAGGCCGGGAGGUAGGAAGGCGCCGGCGGGAGUCGGGAUCCUGCUUUGGGGUGUGUGAGUUGGGGUGGGAAGUUAUGCGUGAUGAGGUGAGGCGUGUGUUUGUGGGACCAUCUCGCAACUGCUCGCCGCCCUCUUUUUGCCUGGGGGCCCGAGUUUGCGUUCGUGACCGAGCCCAAGUGUGGAGCUGGAACUUUCGAGGGAGUUAGGGUGUUGAUGACGGGUCUGGUCUGGGAGUGUGCGCGCGGGAGUGGCUGAGAGCUGCGGACCCAGGCACCGGGCGUGCGGUGCGUGAGUGUGAGCGGUGUCCCUUUGCAGCGAGAAAGACCCCUUGCGUAUUUCUGACCAAACUGGUGAGCUCGUGUGAUUUAUGGGCGUCUGAUCUCCC
Molecule: long non-coding RNA, 401 nt
Filed under: Marmota monax (woodchuck)
Lineage: Eukaryota; Metazoa; Chordata; Mammalia; Rodentia; Sciuridae
Source: RNAcentral